GCCUGGGUGGCUCAGUCAGUUGGGCAUCUGACUUCUACUCAGGUCAUGAUCUCACAGUCGUGGGUUUGAGCCCUGCGUCAGGCU
RNAcentral lists this transfer RNA (84 nucleotides) under Felis catus (domestic cat). It matches the Rfam family "tRNA". Rfam says of the family: Transfer RNA (tRNA) molecules are approximately 80 nucleotides in length. Their secondary structure includes four short double-helical elements and three loops (D, anti-codon, and T loops). Lineage: Eukaryota; Metazoa; Chordata; Mammalia; Carnivora; Felidae. The record is from Rfam by way of RNAcentral.